CGCAGCCGCGGUAAUUCCAGCUCCAAUAGCGUAUAUUAAAGUUGUUGCAGUUAAAAAGCUCGUAGUUGAAUUUCGGGGUUAGUAGGUUGGUCAUGCCUCUGGUAUGUACUGGUCUCACUGAUUCCUCCUUCCUGAUGAACCUUAAUGCCAUUAAUUUGGUGUUUUGGGGAAUUUGGACUGUUACUUUGAAAAAAUUAGAGUGUUUAAAGCAAGCUAACGCUUGAAUACAUUAGCAUGGAAUAAUGAAAUAGGACGUUCGAUCCUAUUUUGUUGGUUUCUAGGAUUGACGUAAUGAUUAAUAGGGAUAGUUGGGGGCAUUAGUAUUCAAUUGUCAGAGGUGAAAUUCUUGGAUUUAUUGAAGACUAACUACUGCGAAAGCAUUUGCCA
This 387-nucleotide ribosomal RNA is filed under the name uncultured Glomeromycotina. RNAcentral describes it as "SSU rRNA". It matches the Rfam family "Eukaryotic small subunit ribosomal RNA", at positions 569 to 960 of the family's 1831-position model. The record is from RNAcentral. Lineage: Eukaryota; Fungi; Glomeromycota.